This is a long non-coding RNA of Leptonychotes weddellii (Weddell seal), 917 nucleotides long. RefSeq lists it as uncharacterized. The record is from RefSeq and is a predicted model, not a curated record. Lineage: Eukaryota; Metazoa; Chordata; Mammalia; Carnivora; Phocidae.
GGCCUGUUAGCAAACUCUAGUCUUCUCUUUCCUAGAUCCAUCAUGUAACUAUAAGGCAAUUCAGAGGCUGGGAAAUACCUGCAUAAUGGCUGACUGCCUGAAACUUUAUAGCUGCAUACAAAAUCACUUGGGAGACAAUAAAACGCACUGGCAUAACAGAAGGAGAUGGAAGAAGAGGGUGGCUGCUCAACUUGCUCUUUCUUCUUGCAAAAGUAUUUAGCUCAACUGAUGCCCAGGAUAUUCAGAAUCAUGGAAGUCUAAUUUUGAAGUAGCUCUGAUACAGCCAUAUUUCUUAGGAGGAGGCUGAAGGCUCCCAGAAUGAAUGUCCCAAGAGAAAUUGGUUGAAACUGCAUGGCUUUUUCAACCCAUCCUUGGAAGUCACACAGCAUUUCUCACAAUAUUCUAUUCCUUGAGACAAUUACAAAGAUCAGUCUGUUCAAAGAGAGGGGGAAAUUGAUUCCAUCUUGCAACCAAGGAUGAAUCAAAGAAUGUAAAAACAUGUUUGAAAACCACCACAUCAUGUGUGCAAACUAUUGUCUAAUUUUCUUUCUUCUCUUUCUACAGAAAGAAUCCAUUUUUAUUUAAUAAUGACUAAUUUAUGAGGUACUGAAAACCAAUACCUCACUGUAUUUCAUCAGUUAUGAUUACCACAGAUAACUGAAAGCACUUUUUGGUCUGUGGACCAAUAUUUCCACAAAACAAUAGGAAAAAAUUUAAAGUCAACAAAAAUGUGACCUCAGUUAACUGAUAUAAUCAGUAAGUAGGAAAAUUGAUUUCUAGUGUUUGUUCAGUAAAUAUUUGUUCAGCACCUAGUACAUGCUCACUGAUCAAAUGAAUGAAACUAUCAAAGAAAAACAAGAACAGUAGAAGUACACCUAAAACAACAGUGGUUUUUUUUUUCCUAGGAAAACAACUAA